AUUGAACGCUGGCGGCAGGCCUGACACAUGCAAGUCGAGCGGAUGAAGGGAGCUUGCUCCUGGAUUCAGCGGCGGACGGGUGAGUAAUGCCUAGGAAUCUGCCUGGUAGUGGGGGAUAACGUCCGGAAACGGGCGCUAAUACCGCAUACGUCCUGAGGGAGAAAGUGGGGGAUCUUCGGACCUCACGCUAUCAGAUGAGCCUAGGUCGGAUUAGCUAGUUGGUGGGGUAAAGGCCUACCAAGGCGACGAUCCGUAACUGGUCUGAGAGGAUGAUCAGUCACACUGGAACUGAGACACGGUCCAGACUCCUACGGGAGGCAGCGGUGGGGAAUAUUGGACAAUGGGCGAAAGCCUGAUCCAGCCAUGCCGCGUGUGUGAAGAAGGUCUUCGGAUUGUAAAGCACUUUAAGUUGGGAGGAAGGGCAGUAAGUUAAUACCUUGCUGUUUUGACGUUACCAACAGAAUAAGCACCGGCUAACUUCGUG
This 484-nucleotide ribosomal RNA is filed under the name uncultured bacterium. RNAcentral describes it as "partial 16S ribosomal RNA". It matches the Rfam family "Bacterial small subunit ribosomal RNA", at positions 30 to 507 of the family's 1533-position model. The record is from RNAcentral.